GGCCUGAUGGUCUAGGGGUAUGAUUCUCGCUUUGGGUGCGAGAGGUCCCGGGUUCAAAUCCCGGUCAGGCCC
Molecule: transfer RNA, 72 nt
Organism: Tetranychus urticae (two-spotted spider mite)
Lineage: Eukaryota; Metazoa; Arthropoda; Arachnida; Trombidiformes; Tetranychidae
Rfam family: tRNA
About the family: Transfer RNA (tRNA) molecules are approximately 80 nucleotides in length.
Source: Rfam